AUGGUGGAGGGCGUGGAUGGCUACACAGGUUGCCCCUCGGCGGCGGACCUCGCGGUGAUCCUCGGCGUUGUCGACGACAAGACGGCUAGCAGGCUGGCCUCGAGCUUGUCCGGCGCCGCUCAGCAUGGAAGUCCGCAGGAGGCGCUGAGACAACACUGUCAUCGUCGUGUCUCAGGAAGAACGAAGGGGCACUGCUAUGGAGAGCUAUCGGCAAGCAGAACAAGGCCUAGAACUGCUGCUACGGGCUCCAUGCUGAGUGGGGGAGAGGCUGGGAAAGAAAUGAAGCGGCCUAAUGGCUGCGGUCGAGAGACGACUGGCAGCGAGCAGAUAGAGGCAACAAAGAAAAGGCAGCCCGCAUGUUAG
This 363-nucleotide ribosomal RNA is filed under the name Triticum aestivum (bread wheat). Its description in RNAcentral is "partial small subunit ribosomal RNA". The record is from RNAcentral. Lineage: Eukaryota; Viridiplantae; Streptophyta; Magnoliopsida; Poales; Poaceae.